UGGGCGUUAAGUUGCAGGGUAUAGACCCGAAACCCGGUGAUCUAGCCAUGGGCAGGUUGAAGGUUGGGUAACACUAACUGGAGGACCGAACCGACUAAUGUUGAAAAAUUAGCGGAUGACCUGUGGCUGGGGGUGAAAGGCCAAUCAAACCGGGAGAUAGCUGGUUCUCCCCGAAAGCUAUUUAGGUAGCGCCUCGUGAAUUCAUCUCCGGGGGUAGAGCACUGUUUCGGCUAGGGGGCCAUCCCGGCUUACCAACCCGAUGCAAACUGCGAAUACCGGAGAAUGUUAUCACGGGAGACACACGGCGGGUGCUAACGUCCGUCGUGAAGAGGGAAACAACCCAGACCGCCAGCUAAGGUCCCAAAGUCAUGGUUAAGUGGGAAACGAUGUGGGAAGGCCCAGACAGCCAGGAUGUUGGCUUAGAAGCAGCCAUCAUUUAAAGAAAGCGUAAUAGCUCACUGGUCGAGUCGGCCUGCGCGGAAGAUGUAACGGGGCUAAACCAUGCACCGAAGCUGCGGCAGCGAACGUAUCACCCAAGACAACUUUACGGAGUUGACGAUUGACGGAGCGAAGCGACGUCAAAGCGUUCAUUAAAGUCGAGUUGGCUUAGGGAUACGUUCGUUGGGUAGGGGAGCGUUCUGUAAGCCUGUGAAGGUGUGUCGUGAGGCAUGCUGGAGGUAUCAGAAGUGCGAAUGCUGACAUAAGUAACGAUAAAGCGGGUGAAAAGCCCGCUCGCCGGAAGACCAAGGGUUCCUGUCCAACGUUAAUCGGGGCAGGGUGAGUCGACCCCUAAGGCGAGGCCGAAAGGCGUAGUCGAUGGGAAACGGGUUAAUAUUCCCGUACUUGGUGUUACUGCGAAGGGGGGACGGAGAAGGCUAUGUUGGCCGGGCGACGGUUGUCCCGGUUUAAGCGUGUAGGUGUGUGUUCCAGGUAAAUCCGGUUCACUUUAACACUGAGGCGUGACGACGAGGCACUACGGUGCUGAAGCAACAAAU
RNAcentral lists this ribosomal RNA (995 nucleotides) under Salmonella enterica subsp. enterica serovar Typhimurium. RNAcentral describes it as "partial 23S ribosomal RNA". It matches the Rfam family "Bacterial large subunit ribosomal RNA", at positions 689 to 1598 of the family's 2925-position model. Lineage: Bacteria; Pseudomonadati; Pseudomonadota; Gammaproteobacteria; Enterobacterales; Enterobacteriaceae. The record is from RNAcentral.